AGAGUUUGAUCAUGGCUCAGAAUGAACGCUGGCGGCGUGCUUAACACAUGCAAGUCGUACGAGAAAUCCUCUGCUUGCAGGGGAGAGUAAAGUGGCGCACGGGUGAGUAUCGCGUGGGUAAUCUACCCUUGAAUUCAGGAUAACACUUCGAAAGGGGUGCUAAUACUGGAUAACAUCCUGAUGGUUUUGGCCAUAAGGAUCAAAGAUAGCCUCUACAUGUAAGCUAUUGUUUAGGGAUGAGCCCGCGUACCAUUAGCUAGUUGGUGGGGUAAGAGCCUACCAAGGCAACGAUGGUUAGCUGGUCUGAGAGGAUGAUCAGCCACACUGGAACUGAAACACGGUCCAGACUCCUACGGGAGGCAGCAGUGAGGAAUUUUGCGCAAUGGGGGAAACCCUGACGCAGCAACGCCGCGUGAGUGAAGAAGGCUUUCGGGUCGUAAAGCUCUGUCAAGAGGGAAGAAAGUGGGAGAUGGUAAUACUGUUUUCUAUUGACGGUACCUCUGAAGGAAGCACCGGCUAACUCCGUGCCAGCAGCCGCGGUAAUACGGGGGGUGCAAGCGUUAUUCGGAUUUAUUGGGCGUAAAGAGCGCGUAGGCGGUUUAUCAAGUCAGAUGUGAAAGCCCUGGGCUCAACCUGGGAAGUGCAUUUGAAACUAGUAGACUUGAGUAUGGGAGAGGGGAGUGGAAUUCCUGGUGUAGAGGUGAAAUUCGUAGAUAUCAGGAGGAACACCGGUGGCGAAGGCGACUUCCUGGACCAAUACUGACGCUGAGGCGCGAAGGCGUGGGGAGCAAACAGGAUUAGAUACCCUAGUAGUCC
RNAcentral lists this ribosomal RNA (816 nucleotides) under uncultured bacterium. RNAcentral describes it as "bacterial SSU rRNA". It matches the Rfam family "Bacterial small subunit ribosomal RNA", at positions 8 to 796 of the family's 1533-position model. The record is from RNAcentral.